Molecule: ribosomal RNA, 497 nt
Filed under: uncultured bacterium
Lineage: Bacteria
Description: partial 16S ribosomal RNA
Rfam family: Bacterial small subunit ribosomal RNA
Source: RNAcentral
GAUGAACGCUGGCGGCGUGCCUAAUACAUGCAAGUCGAGCGAACAGACGAGGAGCUUGCUCCUCUGACGUUAGCGGCGGACGGGUGAGUAACACGUGGAUAACCUACCUAUAAGACUGGGAUAACUUCGGGAAACCGGAGCUAAUACCGGAUAAUAUAUUGAACCGCAUGGUUCAAUAGUGAAAGACGGUUUUGCUGUCACUUAUAGAUGGAUCCGCGCCGCAUUAGCUAGUUGGUAAGGCAACGGCUUACCAAGGCAACGAUGCGUAGCCGACCUGAGAGGGUGAUCGGCCACACUGGAACUGAGACACGGUCCAGACUCCUACGGGAGGCAGCAGUAGGGAAUCUUCCGCAAUGGGCGAAAGCCUGACGGAGCAACGCCGCGUGAGUGAUGAAGGUCUUCGGAUCGUAAAACUCCGUUAUUAGGGAAGAACAAAUGUGUAAGUAACUAUGCACGUCUUGACGGUACCUAAUCAGAAAGCCACGGCUAACUACGUG